AAACCUGGGGAGCUCGUGUGCGGGCUGAGAGGAAGUCAUCAACUUCGACCCUUUAACCUGAUUUGGGUAAUGCCAACGUAGGGAAAC
This 87-nucleotide non-coding RNA is filed under the name uncultured Niameybacter sp. Its description in RNAcentral is "TPP riboswitch (THI element)". It matches the Rfam family "TPP riboswitch aptamer (THI element)", at positions 11 to 88 of the family's 105-position model. Rfam says of the family: Vitamin B(1) in its active form thiamin pyrophosphate (TPP) is an essential coenzyme that is synthesised by coupling of pyrimidine and thiazole moieties in bacteria. The previously detected thiamin-regulatory element, thi box was extended, resulting in a new, highly conserved RNA secondary structure, the THI element, which is widely distributed in eubacteria and also occurs in some archaea. Analysis of operon structures identified a large number of new candidate thiamin-regulated genes, mostly transporters, in various prokaryotic organisms. The record is from RNAcentral. Lineage: Bacteria; Bacillati; Bacillota; Clostridia; Lachnospirales; Lachnospiraceae.